ACGACCUUACUUGAACAGGAUCUGUUCUAUAGGCUCGUACCUCUGUAUCCUUGAUUUCUAAGGAGACAGGCCCUAUAUCCUGGUUGAUGAACCAUGACCGUGCGACCAGAGCGUGAUUAACGGCUAAGAUCAUCUCUAGAUGUAUCCGGUGCUGCAGAGGAUCGUUACCCGGCUCGGUCUAAACCUUGCAGGGAGGUUGCACGGCGGUCUGACAGGCU
Molecule: small nucleolar RNA, 218 nt
Filed under: Brassica oleracea var. oleracea
Lineage: Eukaryota; Viridiplantae; Streptophyta; Magnoliopsida; Brassicales; Brassicaceae
Description: snoRNA Plant_U3
Rfam family: Plant small nucleolar RNA U3
About the family: Small nucleolar RNAs (snoRNAs) are involved in the processing and modification of rRNA in the nucleolus.
Source: Rfam by way of RNAcentral